Molecule: ribosomal RNA, 667 nt
Filed under: Pseudovibrio sp.
Lineage: Bacteria; Pseudomonadati; Pseudomonadota; Alphaproteobacteria; Hyphomicrobiales; Stappiaceae
Description: bacterial SSU rRNA
Rfam family: Bacterial small subunit ribosomal RNA
Source: RNAcentral
AGAACGAACGCUGGCGGCAGGCCUAACACAUGCAAGUCGAACGGAUCCUUCGGGAUUAGUGGCAGACGGGUGAGUAACGCGUGGGAAGCUACCUUGUGGUAGGGAACAACAGUUGGAAACGACUGCUAAUACCCUAUGAGCCCUAUGGGGGAAAGAUUUAUCGCCAUGAGAUGUGCCCGCGUUAGAUUAGCUAGUUGGUAAGGUAAUGGCUUACCAAGGCGACGAUCUAUAGCUGGUCUGAGAGGAUGAUCAGCCACACUGGGACUGAGACACGGCCCAGACUCCUACGGGAGGCAGCAGUGGGGAAUAUUGGACAAUGGGGGCAACCCUGAUCCAGCCAUGCCGCGUGAGUGAUGACGGCCUUAGGGUUGUAAAGCUCUUUCAGCAGUGAAGAUAAUGACAUUAACUGCAGAAGAAGCCCCGGCUAACUUCGUGCCAGCAGCCGCGGUAAUACGAAGGGGGCUAGCGUUGUUCGGAAUCACUGGGCGUAAAGCGUACGUAGGCGGACUGAUCAGUCAGGGGUGAAAUCCCGGGGCUCAACCCCGGAACUGCCUUUGAUACUGUCAGUCUUGAGAUCGAGAGAGGUGAGUGGAACUCCGAGUGUAGAGGUGAAAUUCGUAGAUAUUCGGAAGAACACCAGUGGCGAAGGCGGCUCACUGGCUCGAUA